This is a long non-coding RNA of Carassius gibelio (silver crucian carp), 576 nucleotides long. RefSeq lists it as uncharacterized. The record is from RefSeq and is a predicted model, not a curated record. Lineage: Eukaryota; Metazoa; Chordata; Actinopteri; Cypriniformes; Cyprinidae. The transcript has 3 exons.
GUUUACUCAUCAAAUGCUCUGGUCUGAAUCUUACUUUAAAUUAACUUAAUUAUAUGUUUAAUGAGAAAUAUUGCUCAUUGCACACAGAGUAAGAUUAUCUUGUUUCACAGAAGAGAAGGAAGACCAAGGAAAUGAUUUGCUCAGGAUGAGAAAUGAAGAUGGUCAUCUUGUGCUCAAGCAAACAGAAGUCCUCUGAUGAUCUCAUCAACCAAAUGAGGGGUUUUGACCAAGUGAUGCUCUUGAAAGGAGUGAAAGAAGAGGAUGUGGUAAAUUGUCUUCAGAGAAAAAGCUUCUCAAAAGAUCUUAAAACAGCUUGAAGAAUGGUCUGGGAUCUUAGGACUGAGAGAUCUCACUGGCACCCAGUUAACCUCCAUAGAGAACAUUUAUCAAAAGCGCUGUCUGGGUAGGGCAAGAAACAUCAUCAAGGAUGCCUCUCACCCUAACCAUGGACUUUUCACCCUCCUUCCAUCCGGCAGGCGUUACAGGAGCCUACGCUCUCGAACUAGUACCUGCUCUUUUACUGCACUGGUCACAGUACUUUACAUACAUGUAUUGCACUACUCAUAUUUUGCACAG